ACAUGCCACUAANGAAGCAGAGAUGCAUUAGGUGCUCGAAAGAGAAAGUGGACACAGGUGCUGCAUGGCUGUCGUCAGCUCGUAUCGUGAGAUGUUGGGUUAAGUCCCGCAACGAGCGCAACCCUUGUCUCUAGUUGCUACGAAAGGGCACUCUAGAGAGACUGCCGGUGACAAACCGGAGGAAGGUGGGGAUGACGUCAAGUCCUCAUGGCCCUUAUGGGUAGGGCUUCACACGUCAUACAAUGGUGCAUACAGAGGGUUGCCAAGCCAGCGAGGUGGAGCUAANANCAGAAAAUGCAUCGUAGUCCGGAUCGUAGUCUGCAACUCGACUACGUGAAGCUGGAAUCGCUAGUAAUCGCGGAUCAGCAUGCCGCGGUGAAUACGUUCCCGGGUCUUGUACACACCGCCCGUCACACCAUGGGAGUGGGCUUUACCAGAAGUAGUUAGCCUAA
Molecule: ribosomal RNA, 452 nt
Filed under: uncultured bacterium
Lineage: Bacteria
Description: bacterial SSU rRNA
Rfam family: Bacterial small subunit ribosomal RNA
Source: RNAcentral